UUUUCCUUAACAUCCUAAAAUAAAUAAAAAUAUUACUCGAAUAUAACUUUAUAAUGUCAACAAUGCUCUAAACUCAACUCAAGUGUAUCCUAUAUUCUGAUCUCCAACUCUAAACAACUCAAAAGAAACUCUGACAACUCUAUAACAACUCUAAUCAAAUAAAAUAUAAUAAAAUUAUGAAACUUUCCUGUCUAAAAUAUAUUUAAAACCUAUUUCG
RNAcentral lists this long non-coding RNA (217 nucleotides) under Lathyrus oleraceus (garden pea). Its description in RNAcentral is "Pisum sativum (pea) long non-coding RNA (PSAT_LNC018062)". The record is from RNAcentral. Lineage: Eukaryota; Viridiplantae; Streptophyta; Magnoliopsida; Fabales; Fabaceae.